This 253-nucleotide ribosomal RNA is filed under the name uncultured bacterium. RNAcentral's name for it is "partial 16S ribosomal RNA". It matches the Rfam family "Bacterial small subunit ribosomal RNA", at positions 524 to 776 of the family's 1533-position model. The record is from RNAcentral.
UACGUAGGGACCAAGCGUUGUCCGGAAUCAUUGGGCGUAAAGCGCGCGUAGGCGGCCCGGUAAGUCCGUUGUAAAAGUCGAAGGCUCAACCUUCGAAAGCCGAUGGAUACUGCCGGGCUAGAGUACGGAAGAGGCGAGUAGAAUUCCUGGUGUAGCGGUGGAAUGCGCAGAUAUCAGGAGGAAUACCGAUAGCGAAGGCAGCUCGCUGGGACGUUACUGACGCUAAGGCGCGAAAGCGUGGGGAGCGAACAGG